This 460-nucleotide ribosomal RNA is filed under the name uncultured bacterium. Its description in RNAcentral is "partial 16S ribosomal RNA". It matches the Rfam family "Bacterial small subunit ribosomal RNA", at positions 338 to 795 of the family's 1533-position model. The record is from RNAcentral.
CCUACGGGAGGCAGCAGUGAGGAAUAUUGGUCAAUGGACGAGAGUCUGAACCAGCCAAGCAGCGUGAAGGAUGACUGCCCUGUGGGUUGUAAACUUCUUUUAUAUGGGAAUAAAAUGUUCCACGUGUGGGAUUUUGUAUGUACCUUAUGAAUAAGGAUCGGCUAACUCCGUGCCAGCAGCCGCGGUAAUACGGAGGAUCCGAGCGUUAUCCGGAUUUAUUGGGGUUAAAGGGAGCGUAUGUGGAUUGUUAAGUCAGUUGUGAAAGUUUGCGGGUCAACCGUAAAAUUGCAGUUGAAACUGGCAGUCUUGAGUACAGGAGAGGUGGGCGGAAUGCGUGGUGUAGCGGUGAAAUGCUUAGAUAUCACGAAGAACUCCGAUUGCGAAGGCAGUUCACUGGACUGCAACUGACGCUGAGGCUCGAAAGUGUGGGUAUCAAACAGGAUUAGAUACCCCUGUAGUC